CAGCCGCCGCGGUAAUACGUAGGUCCCGAGCGUUGUCCGGAUUUAUUGGGCGUAAAGGGAGCGCAGGCGGUUUAGUAAGUCUGAAGUUAAAGGCAUUGGCUCAACCAAUGUAUGCUUUGGAAACUGUUAGACUUGAGUGCAGAAGGGGAGAGUGGAAUUCCAUGUGUAGCGGUGAAAUGCGUAGAUAUAUGGAGGAGCACCGGUGGCGAAAGCGGCUCUCUGGUCUGUCACUGACGCUGAGGCUCGAAAGCGUGGGUAGCGAACAGGAUUAGAGACCCCAGUAGUCCCUGUCUCUUAUACA
Molecule: ribosomal RNA, 301 nt
Filed under: uncultured bacterium
Lineage: Bacteria
Description: partial 16S ribosomal RNA
Rfam family: Bacterial small subunit ribosomal RNA
Source: RNAcentral